AGAACGAACGUUAGCGGCGCGCUUAACACAUGCAAGUCGCACGAGAAAGGGCUUCGGCCCCGGUAAAGUGGCGCACGGGUGAGUAACACGUGGAUAAUCUUCCCUCGGGCGGGGGAUAACAUUCCGAAAGGAGUGCUAAUACCGCAUAAGACCACAGUCUCGAAAGAGACAGCGGUCAAAGCCGGCCUCUAUAUAUAAGCUGGUACCUGAGGAUGAGUCCGCGGCCCAUCAGCUAGUUGGUAGGGUAAUGGCCUACCAAGGCAAAGACGGGUAGCUGGUCUGAGAGGAUGAUCAGCCACACUGGAACUGAGACACGGUCCAGACUCCUACGGGAGGCAGCAGUGGGGAAUAUUGGACAAUGGGCGCAAGCCUGAUCCAGCCAUGCCGCGUGGAUGAUGAAGGCCUUAGGGUUGUAAAGUCCUUUUAACGGGAAGAUAAUGACGGUACCGUAGAAUAAGCCCCGGCUAACUUCGUGCCAGCAGCCGC
This 486-nucleotide ribosomal RNA is filed under the name uncultured bacterium. Its description in RNAcentral is "SSU rRNA". It matches the Rfam family "Bacterial small subunit ribosomal RNA", at positions 26 to 518 of the family's 1533-position model. The record is from RNAcentral.